UCUUGAGGAAACCCUAACCAGCAGCAAAUACUUCAAGGGUACAAACAUGAAGGCAUAGAGAACGGAAAGCCUUUCACGGUAAUGGGACAACAACAGCAACAAAAAUUAAAGCCAAGACUGCUGGGGAUAGAAUUCACCUGACUAGGGGAGCAACUCCAUGUGAAACAAAUUUGCUUCCUCUGACUUACAGCACCAGCAAAAUACAUUCAAUUCCAUCUCAAUAAACUUCCAACUUUUUCUAGGCCCAGGUAGCAACUAUUUAUUCCUGAAGUCAUACGCAGUACAACAAAUCUUUUAACAGAAUUUACAAUUUUACCCAGUUUUUACCUGGAUUUUUAGUGUUCUUCUAAGGGGAAUGUGCCUCUAAGAGAUGGUUUUGGUAGUCUAAAGUUCUGGCUUGAGUCUAUGAAAGAUUUUUAUAGUUGACAUUUCAUAGGGGGAAGAAAAGGCUAAACAAAACCAAAAGCCACCGUAAAAGUUUCCCAAUCUUCCUCUAUCUAGGUGCAAUCUUAAACAUAUUAGCUCUUCAGCAGAGAACUAUGUUCAUAUUUUUUAAUUAGGUGAUUAAAAAUAUUUGAAAUGGCAGCAAAACAAUGGCCAGCUUUUGGCAAUCCAAAGGGAAAAAAGGAAAAGGUGACAUGAUUAGCAUUGGUAAGCUUAAGUUUAAUCACAUGGGAUCAUUAACAUUUUCCAUGGAUAAAGAACAAGAACCCUUACAAUUAAAAGGUCUCAGCAAGAGUGCCAACUCUGUCCUGGUCAGCAAGACAGGCCUUAGACGCUCCUUUAAUCAUAGCUUGUAAAUUCACAGUGGCAUUUACAAACGUCAGAACGUACUUUAGGUAAAAUGCAAUUGGUUCAGCCAGAAGUUUCCCUAACAGCAACUGACUGAAGAGCAGUGGUUCUCCCAGGGUCCCUUCUGCCCUCUUCCCACCAGCAAUAUAAGCCACACCUGGGAGCUUGUUAGACAUGCAAACCUCCCACCCACAGAAUCACAAUUGCAGUGGAGGGGGCCUGGCAAUCCGUUUUAAACAACCCUCCAGAUAAUUCUGAUUUAAGGCCAGCUGUAGAAGAUAUUACAGAGAUUUUGAGUGUGACACCAAGCACAAGAUGCCUAAUUCAGGAUGUACAAGCCAUUUUCAUUUCCCUUAACCAAAUCUCCUCUUCCCAUUGCCCAUCCCUUUUAGAGGGCCAUGCAAAGAGUAGGACCUUGUUCAAGACACACUUUGAAAAGGUCCUUAGAUAGGCCUAAUGGAAAAGGCAUCUAUUUUUCAUAUGUUACCACAGUAACAGUAACAAGAAGCAUCAUUUAUUCCUAUAAGAAAAGUCCCCUUUGCAGGGGACAUUGAGUAUUUACAGAAAGAUCACUUUAUCCUGAGGAACUCAAAAUUUGGAAAAGCAAAUAUGGAAAACUUGGCCUCUAAGACAUCCAUGUACACCUUUACAGGCCACGUUCUAAACGAACACUCCCUAAUUACAGCUGCCCAAUACGGAAAACAUGUGUCCUAGGAAAACCUCCACCGUCUACUCUGAAAGACAUCAUGUUCACGUAAUAGAGAAAAAAAAAGUCUUAUUUCAGUUCCUGUACUGGUCCCUCAGUCUUGACUUAAACAGGGAAGGUGAUCUAUUUCACCUCUGCCCAUCCUUAAUGCUACUUCGGGUCCUGUGACAUCCUUCUUUAGGUCCACAUUCAGUCGUUACUUAUGGGAGUUGCAAUAAAAAUAAUAAAGCUUAUCUCUGGAUUAUAAAACUAUUUUCAUAUCAUAAAAUCAAUUGCAUUUUGUGUGCAGUCCGUGUUUUUAGUUUACAAAUAGAUCCCAUAUUUCCCGUCUCAUUUGAGUCUUACAGCAGCCUGUGAGCUGAACACAGUUUUAUUAUUCCCACUUUACAGAUGAGAAAACUGGAACUUAGUGCUAACCUCAACAAACAACUGAUCACUGGAUAUUACAGAGGAGAUACAAAUGCUUUGCAUAAAAAAUUAAAGCAUUCAUGAUGUCUAAAAGAACCUCCACAUUUGCUUGAAUUUGUCAUCAGCCAAAUAGUAUUCAUCAGAAAUUACCUAAGUAGGUUUCUAGGUUGGGUGAUAUUUUUCUAAGGAAUGGUAAAUAGCAUGGAGAUGAAAUAAAUGAGAACCUACAAACUCUCCCAGUUAUACAACUCACAUAACCUGCAAUGAUGUCUGAAAUUCUAUGGUGCUCAAAGUAACAACAAUGGAGAUGCUGAAAAGAUUAAGCUCUUACUCAUACCAGGCACUCUUCUGCACACAUUAAAUAUAUUCAACAACCCUAUUAAUAUCCCCAUUUUGGAGGUGAGGAAAACAAGGCACAGAAAAGCUAAGUAACUUGCCCAAGAUCACACAUGUUGCUUGGUGAACACAGAGGAGGAAAUGCAACUGGAAGUGCCAAGCCCCUGUGUGGUCUGCCUGCCAGUGAUGGAAACCUGACAUGGGAGGGCAGCUACCACAAGAACAUGGGUUAUGUUUCCAGUGUUGCCAUUUGGGCAACAGUCUUCACAUUUGCUUACUGGAAACAUUAAUCAAUGCUGAGGUUCCAAGUAACCAAACAUUAACUGAGACUCCUAACAGCCAGUUCCUUCUCAGAGUGUCCCCAACAAAGGUUUCCUAGAUCUUGGGUAGCAAUGGAACGCUGGUGGAUUCUCCUGGAACUGCCUUCAACUAAGAAAAAUCAGAGGGGAAAGCAGCUUUGGAGGAAACGUGCAAAGUAAAGCUGUAUGUGGGAGGCAGCAGUUCUAGUAAAUGUACAGAACUCAAGGCUCUGAUUUUUCUUUUAAAGACAUAUAAAUAAAAAGGAGUCCUCACUGGUAUAAAUUACUCCUGCCUUUUUUUUUCUCCACUGUUUUCAACUGCUCACAUUUUGGAACUGUGCGAGCCAGCUUUUACAUAAUGAUCAAUCUUUCAAAGUUUAUACAUCAUCUUCUUAAGGAAGAAAACAAAUAUCAAGCUGAAAAGAACAUUCAGGCAAAGGAGAAAAAUUACAUGAUAAAUAAAUGCAGUCUUCGUGGGCAAGUAUACUGUGAUGGGAGUGUGGGGUGUAGGGACAACUUUCCAACACUUACUCAAAUGUGCUUAUCUUCCUCAUUUCCUGCCUCUAAUUUUUACCGAAUAACCGCCUUGAGAUCCCAGGAAUUCAAAAGGAAACCCAAUUUAACACCAAGUUCCAGGGUAUUCCACAUAAUCUCUCUUUAAGGCAAAGUCCCAAAACCGAGAGAUGGGACUAUAAUGACCACAAGUUAGGUAACAUUUCACAUUCACAUUCCUUCCACAUUCUUUGACAAUCCUGGUCCAACUACUUACUGUGGACCCUGUGUGCUUUACUUUCUUCUGCUAUAUAAUGAGGAUAAUAUUAAUACCUUCUCUCAGGUUGGUGUGAAAACUGCAUGAAUUAGCAAAUGUAAAGCACUUGGAACUGUGUCUGACACAAAGUGCUGAAUAGCGUCAGCUGUUAUUACUACUACUUACUACUAUUAUUUACAAAAACAUUGCAACGGAUAAUUAUAUCCAGGAAGCUUCCAUUGUAUUAGUAACAUUUUACUGCUUUUUCUAAAAUUGAAAUCAGAGCAGCAGUCAAUACAUGGAAACAGAAAAGGUAUAAUUCUUCAAAAAAGUGAAGGAAAAGCUUCCCAUAUCCCCAUACCCAUGACACCUGCUGGUGAGUUUCAGGUAAGGGUGUAGCUGGGAGCAUCCGGUUCCACAGCUGCCUUGUAUUUCUCUUAGAGGAUGCCUCCCCUUCUGCUGCGGUUUUUAAUCAGCGUUUCCAGGGCAGGGUUGCAGGCGGGGCCGCGAACCCCCUGAAGUUGUACACGGAGCUGGGUGAGGCUGCGGCUCUGGGCAUUUCGGGGGAGGGGUUCCAUGGCUUUCCACAAAAUCUAACCACCCGGUAGCGAGCCACGUGCUAUCCAGGGUUAAACUCCAGGCAUAUUGAGCGAACACUUCAUGGAAGACUGUAGCAAUAACCGGGACACCUGCGCUGUUAAUCAGCUAUCUCAACACCAGAGAGACCCGGCAGCACAAGGGGGAAGAGCUGGCCCGGAGGCGCGCGGCGCUGCGCCCUCAUCGCGCCCAGACAGAUCUGUGAACUUCGCCGCUGGAGAACGCACCGCUCCGCAGGCCCGACCCGGGAGAGGGGUUUCACUUCCCCUCCCCUUCUUCAUCCUUCCUUCAUUUCCAAGAACAAACUCAAAGGAAACUGGCAGCUCAAGGUCUAGGGUUUCACUCCUGCCCUCGGCUGACACCAAAACCACUUCUCCCAGGGAAAUUAAUUAAAAGAAUCAUUAAUCCGCACAAAAAUCCAAAACCUACCCCAAAACUCAACAGCUCUGAAAGGAGAUUGAGGGCGCCUUUGCGGAUCGCGAACAUCUCCUCUGCUGGUCGCUGGGGCUUAGGGGGUGAGCAAGGGGGCGCCACAGGGGCGCAGGCAAGACCCCGCCAGAGGGUCGGACGCCUGCCCCGGUUCCGAGGCAGCCGGGUCUACACGCCAGCGACGCCGGCGGAGCCGGGCUUGGAGGCGGCCAGCCUCCACCUAUGCUCUGAAACUGCAACCCAGAUCUGAGAAAACUGUGUCUACCUGGUCCUUGACUUAGAUAUCACUAAAGAUCUGGCCAGUAGUCCUCUUCCUGAUGCCAGACACAAGUCAGGACCAGCUCUCCAGAGAAGGACAUCCCCACCACCAGGACCCUUGCAAAGAGGAAUGAAAGACCCAGUCCUGUUGUGAUGUUCAUUAGUCAGAUCUUGGAGCUCUCCUGGCCUCUUUGGAUAUCCCCUGUCAGCUCAACUGAUGAGACUUUAUGUACCACUGCAUGAAAAACAAAAGGGAAUCUCUUAUUUCUCACACGGGAUAACAGCUGAUAGUCAUUACCACAAUAUAAUAGACAUGUUAGUGGCCAGGUUCAUGUAAGGACUAAGCAGCCCCAUGAAUCACGUAAGACUGGCUACUCCUGGGACGCUCCUCUCUGGUUUUCUAGGUAGCAGAGAGGGAAAGCUAAAUAGUAGUUUCUAAUAACAACUGGGAAGGCUUUUUCUUUUUAAAUAACAGUGGAGUUGGCAUAAAGCUUGGAACCAAGUGUAGAGAAGGUAAAGUAUACGUAGAAGGGCUGUGACGAACAUAAAACUUGGCUGCGUUCUUUGUGAAGGCUCAAACUUGGGAAGGUUAAAUACCAAACUUUUUUCAUUUGUUCUGUAUUUUGAUUCUGAAAAGAAAGCUGACUUUGCCCAUUUAUGAUUUUUAAAUCUUGGGGACAAGGAGAAGAAAGGGACAAUUUUUAAAAAACUGUUUGAAAACAUUACGGCUGAAAGAAGCUACGUAGGAGCUGGGUAGAGAACGUAGUGACUAAGAGAACAGGGAAUGACCAGCAUGCCCCCUGUGGGAGGGGCUCUACCCGUGCCCCUUUUCACAUACGGGAAUCUUGACACCAAACAUGUUCUCACACGCAUGGUGGUGUGAAUGAUUUGAAGGAAUUCACAGUUAGUACAAAGAAGAAUCUGGAACAUGUUUAAUGAUUUAUCCCUGGAGAUCAUAAUAAACAAUGUAAAACCUGGGAGACAUCUCUGAAUUCCCUGGCUCUUGCAGAAUUCA
Long non-coding RNA from Cebus imitator (Panamanian white-faced capuchin), 5588 nucleotides. RefSeq lists it as uncharacterized. Lineage: Eukaryota; Metazoa; Chordata; Mammalia; Primates; Cebidae. The record is from RefSeq and is a predicted model, not a curated record. The transcript is spliced from 3 exons.